CUGCUCCCUCCACUGAAACAGGAGGAGAGGAGACAGUGGGAGAAGGCACUUGCAGUGUCUUGCUCAGAACAGGAUUUGGAGAGUGAAGCAGGAGCAGCAGACACCUAUGGAGCCACAUCCAGGAGCCUGGACCCAAAAUGGGAUUGCCAGCCAGUCUUACAUGGCCUGGCUGUGUACUACACAAUCGCACCCUGGUGAAUGGGAGCAGAACACCUGGAGCUGGUGAAAAGGAAGUUAAAAAUAAUUUCCAAAACCC
Melospiza melodia melodia is the source of this 256-nucleotide long non-coding RNA. RefSeq lists it as uncharacterized. NCBI's taxonomy places the organism in Eukaryota, Metazoa, Chordata, Aves, Passeriformes, Passerellidae. The record is from RefSeq and is a predicted model, not a curated record. The transcript has 3 exons.